CCUCUCUCAGGAUGGCACCUGGAGAGUUUCCAGUCUUCUACCAGUCUCAGCUAAGGGAGGGAGAGUCAAGCAGAGGCCUAUCCAUUCCUUUCCUAGCUUGGGCAGUGGCUAGCGAGUGGAAGGUCAUCGGCUACAAGU
Molecule: small nucleolar RNA, 138 nt
Filed under: Ornithorhynchus anatinus (platypus)
Lineage: Eukaryota; Metazoa; Chordata; Mammalia; Monotremata; Ornithorhynchidae
Source: RNAcentral